AAGAUUUAGAUAUUCCCGCUACAACAACGCUACAUCCUGGUUACAAAGAAGACGCCAAUGACACUUUGAUUCAGACGCUCGCUGAAGUACAGACUGAUCGACGUGGGAGAGGACCGUUAUAUUUACAGUCUAUGGAGAAGAGGACCAUAUGGUAUUAAUACAAUUUCAGGAACUACUUCCUUUCCAUGGGCCACAGGAACAGGACAAGGUGAGUGAGGAGUUCCUGGAGUAUCAACUCAUGGAGAUCCCCAUGCCCCAAGAUCCCACCACCUUUAAUGUUGAGGAGUUUUGGGGAGUAUGUCCUCAACCAAGAGCAAGGUGACCGGUUUGAGUCAGUUUGGGAGGCUAUCUAAGAUAGCAGCAUUAGUUUUAGUGCUCCCACACUCAAAUGCGGACGCAGAGAGGGUUUUCUCCAUGGUCGGCCGAAACAAGACCAAAACGAGAAACAGCUUGGCACUGAAUGGAACACUUUCGUCAAUCAUGACAGUCAAAAUGGCUGGCCUGGAACCACAGUGUUUCAAAUGGGAGCCACCAACCCCCUGUGCUGAAGGCCUCCAAACCUGCCACUAACACCUACAAUAAACAACACUAACCAUAAUCACACACACACACACACACACA
Molecule: long non-coding RNA, 621 nt
Organism: Labrus bergylta (ballan wrasse)
Lineage: Eukaryota; Metazoa; Chordata; Actinopteri; Labriformes; Labridae
Source: RefSeq, a predicted model, not a curated record